This 26647-nucleotide long non-coding RNA is filed under the name Selaginella moellendorffii. RNAcentral describes it as "long non-coding RNA (SMOE_LNC001609)". Lineage: Eukaryota; Viridiplantae; Streptophyta; Lycopodiopsida; Selaginellales; Selaginellaceae. The record is from RNAcentral.
CUUUAUUCAACUACUUCAAGGUGGUAGCAAUCCAAGUUUUGAAGUGCGAAAACACAGGAGCUCCUUACGCGCGAAAUGGGGAUUGAUGCAAAGGAGGGUGUCUGUAUCAAAUUGGAAUUUGUGUUGGCUGGUAGGUGCCAACAUGACAUUGUGCCAUAAGGUUUCCUCUCGCUUGCAUCCUGGUCACAAUGUCGCAAUUUCUAGAAAAGGAUUUCUUCCAGUUGUGCAAAUCUACACUGAGGACAGUACUAUUUUUGUUAGUUUUUCUUCUGCUUAGUUGCUUUUUGGCCUGUGAUCUUCUAGGAGCACAAGUUUGUAGGCGAGCUUGUAAAUCUUAUAGGAAAAAAGUGAGUGGCAGAACCUGGAGAAGGUACUUUCUUCUUUGAUUGCGCUUUCCAUUCCAGUUGACGAGAUUGGAUUGGAGGCAAAAAAUAACAACUGUGUCACUUGUUUUGAUGAAUAUCGAGUCUCAGGUUAGUGUAGGUUUAUAAAUUUAUUUGUGCACUUUGGUGCUUUGGAUGAUCUUUGUGGUAAGUAAAGCAGGCUGUCAGAAGCACAAUGUCCUGCAAAAAUAUGCCUCCCACUUUUUAUAUAAAAAGUAUAUUCAUUAGAUAUUUCAUAGCGGGCCAGCUCAAACGAGCAAUGCACUGUAUCUUUCAUGGGACUCUGGUUUCUUGUUCCAGAUGGUAAAUCCGACCGCUAGUGCAAGCACCACAACGAUUCCAAGCGUGACCACCAUCACAUUAACUCUAUUUUUCACGUCCUGCAGCGGAGAAAAGCAAUCACUCAAUCUAACAAACAAGUAAAAAACGUACCUUGAUUUCUCCUAGAGACACAGUGUCAUUGUCGCUCACCAUGAGAUAGAAGAUUCCCAUGACACCCGUGUGCUCCUGGGCAGAACUAUAAGAUGAGGAGAAGUGGAGCUUCUCACCGCUCGCGACCAUCAGAGUCCCUGGCUUAGGAAUGCAUGUAGACAUUCCAACAACGUAGCCAUCUUCGUUGCCAGGAGAUGAUCCAUUCCCGUAUAGAGGAGUCGAGGAGCACAAGUGCCGACCAUCCUGGAAAAGCCGCACAAAUUGACAGUCAUGAGAGUUUUUUUUACUUCUUCUUACCUCUCCAUGCAUGCUUAUGCCCAUGCCUGCAGCGUGCUGAUGUCCUACUCCAUAGAUAAUGCUACCCCCUUUUGGAAUCACCAGGUGAUUCUCCAGCUGAUAAAUACAAUCGGAAUUUGAGGACGGGUCACAAGCGGGAACGUCAUACUCGGCCUGCAAGACAAUCGUAAGAAACAUAAGAGAAACUUUUAGAAUGAGGAAAAACGAACUUGGCAGCCAACUUGAGGGUCGACUGGAUCCCGCUUCCUGCUGUCUGUGAUGUCGAAUAUAUAAGCACGAACAGGCCGGACACAUUCGUCCCACUCCACCCAUUCGAUGGUGUAUUGCAUGUAAAGAGUCUUCUUUGGUGCUUGAAAUCCCAGUUUCAUUGCACAUUUGGUCCCUUCAUAGCAGCAAUGCAAACCGCCUUUGUAACCUUGCUUCAAAGGCUGUCCAGAGGCAUCUAUUGUUACGUUGUACAAGCUGCAGCGGCACUCGAGACAUCCUUGGGGAUCAUAUGUUCCUCUGGUGUCGAUGGCAUGGACGUUGAGCAGCCAAAGCUCCUUGUAGCCUUCUGGAGGGUUGCCAACGCCGAUAGCAUAGGAGCCUGGAACAAAGUAGCUCGUGUGUCUCGUCUCGGCACCAAGACCCCAGAACUGUGGAUGGACGUUUUGCUGACAAAUUCCAUCGUUUCCAGGGAUUAUAGCCGCUGACGACCCUAGACGAUCAUGGAAGCCGCCUCUGACCAGCUCUUUUCUCUCGGAGCUCUUCAGGUAGAAGCCAAAUACCACCCAGUGAUGCAAAUAGACUUCGCUGAGAGGCACGGGAUUCCCAAGCUCGUCUACAAUCUCUCCCUGGAAGUUCUUGACGCCGAUAUGACCUUUGGGAAACUCGAUCGUGUAGUUUCGGUUUUGGACCUCUCCCGGCCCCAUAGAAAAAGCUGGAGAUUUGUAAGUCUUCUUCUGAAUUCUGGAAGAUCUGGAGCAGUCCUUAGAUUCUGCUGGAGAUGAAGGCCAUAGCAAAACGAUGGCCACGACCAGAACCAAAAACUUCCCGUCCAUUUUUUUGCUGCUAUUCACCCCCGCCGUGCUCAACUCACCAGAUGGGCCGUAGGACCUUCACCUGUACGGUUUGGACACCGCUUUCAGUCUUACAAGAGCGCAUCCCCGUGCAGUGCUUGGACGAUUCAGCCAAUGUGCUUCCAAUGAGCAAUAGGGCACACGGUGACGUGUGCUAGCUACGAGCUCUUGGCCCACAUGCGGUUUGCGGGGACAAAUCCAAGAUCUCGGGUCCCAGAAGAUCAAUCGGAUAAUGGCAUCGAGCACGUUCGCCCGGCAUUUUCCAUACAUGGACGGCUAGUGACUAAUUAUGAAAGUUGAGAUAAAAAUGAAAACUGCGUAUCACUGAUUUGGUUUUAAGGCAAUUUGAUAAACAUAUAUUAUAAAGAGUUUAAAGAUGUACAUUAUUAAUUUAUGCAAUUUCAUUAAAGUAUUCAAAGUCUCUCCUCCACAAAAAUAUGGAAAUCAUCACAAGCAUAAACAAUGUAAUCACACGUGAUAAAAAAUAGCAAAUUAACACUAAAUGUGGCUUUGAGCCCUUCUCUAACUUAUGCUAAAAUAUCUUCUCCUAAUGAUGCUUUUAAAUAGCCAAUUAUAACCAAAAAAUAUCAUUCAGUACCAGUUUUAAAGGGCUUUGGUGGUAUUUAGGGCAUAUAAUGUUUUGAAAAAACCAAUUCAAUCAUUGAUUAAAAUUAGGGUGGGGCCAAUUUUAGUAUAGCAGGUUAGAUUUAAGCACUUGAACCCUCAUGUUAACAAUAUACACUGUGGGAUAGCACCUGCAACUGGAUAAAUAACCCUUAAGUUGUACACACUCUAUAUCAUUGUAUAAAUUGAGACCUUGUAUUAGAGGAAUUGCCUCUAGAUUAAGAAAAACUGAACACAGCAAGCAAGAGAGAGAGGAAACCUCUAUAAAUUUCUAUUGGUCCUUCUGGAAUUCCUUAUUCCUCUUGAUCACCAAGCUCGAAACCAGAAAAAUGUAUAACUAUUGUUAUAGAUCAAUGAAACUUGAGUGUAGUGGAGAAGUUUUAUUGUCUCUCUAGAUUAGUUGCCCACUUUAGAUCAUGUGUUUGAGGAAUUUGCAAAAGCACUUUGAGGGGGGGAUUGUAGGGGGUUCCAAAAUUAUAGUAAAGAUAAUGGGUUGUAGGGGGUUCCAAAAGUAUAGUAAAGAUAGCAAUGUUAAGACUUUAGUUUUGAAAGAACUUUUUAAUGAUGCUUCCAAAUUAAAUUGAGGUUAGAAUUAAAAGUGAGUAGUCUUAGGUGGGAGUGAGCACAGACUUAAAGAGUGCUAAAGAAGCUCCUCAAAAAAGUGCUCAAGAGCAAUUCUUAUUUCCAGAAAGGAAAUUAAUUGUAAUGCUCUUAACUCAAGUGGAAUGGUGCCCCAUUUGAAUAUCAUAUAGCUUAUUGAUCUUCACCCUAUGUUAGGGGUUUAGGCCUUCCCUUCAGGAUGAAGGUGGGGAGUUAAGAUAUCCAUAUUAGGCCAUUAAUCCAUGGUGUUUCCCUUUAGUGUCUCGGGCUAGGUGAUACAUUUAAGGCUGAAGAUUUAAAGAGUCUUAUAUCAUAAAAUGUUAGAAACUUGGAGAUUUAAUGUGUUUGGAUGUUUGUGCCUAAAGGGAGUGUAACUGAACCUUAAAUAUAGUCUUAUUUAGAAAGGGGUAUAGUAAAAAGUUUGAGAAAUUCUGAAAAGUUGGUUAACACUCAAUUAUUUGUGUAAUAAGUAGUUGAAUUUAAGUAGGACAAAGUCAGAGUUAGCACAAUAUGUGGGAACCUUGGUAAAGGAAUCUAGUAAAAGUCAAAAUAAAGGUGGUUGGAUAGAUGAAGUAAGUUGAUAAAUUGGCAAGGGAAAUAUAUAAUUUACACUUGGGAGAAAGUCUAAAGCAUGCUUUCAUUUGGACAGGGGUUUAUAAAAAGUUUUAAAAUGUAUAGUAUGAUUGGGUAGAUUGGGUAUGGAUGACCAAUUUAAGACAUUAGAUGUGUUUGUCAUUGUUUUAUGUCUAGCUUGGAUCUAAUCCCAAACCCAAAACUAAUAAUUCGUGGAGUACAUAUAUCCCUCGGGUUAUGCUAAAAUAUCACUAGACUUCAUUUAGCUCUAUUUUGCAUAUUAGUCUUGGCAUUUCGAUAUUAAAUACUCUAGAAUUAUUUUAAUUCUAUUUUAUGUAUUUUUGCUCCUUUAUUAUUUAGCUUGGGAGUUAUUCAAUGCUCAUAUUCUUUCAUUCAUUGGCUAUAUGAUUGGGAAUUUAGCUCUAUCCCUUCAUUAAAUGGCUCAAGGCUUUAAAACUCAAGUUUUACUUUGUUGCAUUUCACACAUAUAUCCAAGGGUUAAAUUUUGCUCUACAGUAAACUACUAUAGGGUAUAAAGUGAAAACCAUAUAUAUUAUAUAAUGAGAUUUUAACAAUCUACAUCAAGAAUUGGGUAGAUUUAAAAACUAGUUCUUUACAGGAAUUUCUAGCAAUUUGGAAAGAUGCUUAUGAAGAUUCAAGUGCUUAGUAGCAAUAGAAAUGGGAGCCUAACAGUUCACUAUCAAAACCAUAUACUAGUGGCAAGAUUGAAACCAUAAUAGUGAGCAAGAGUGUGUGUACUAGACACGAUUUAAAUUUAGAUUCAGCUUUGAAUCAACCACUUGAUCAUGAGCAAAAGUGUUUCAACUAAAGAUGAUAUGGUAUAUAGUUAUGCCCAUGUGGUAGUAGUUUCUAUAUAUAUAUAUAGCCAUUUAUAUACAAUUGAAAUACAUUUCUUCCUCCUCGUGUAUCACUACUUUCAAAGCAUAGUAAAACCUGGAAAAGGUAAUUUCCUUGUCAAUCAUUCUUUUUAUUUUAGUUGACAAGAUUGAAUUAAAGGUAAAGAAUGCAACUAUAUCACUUGUUUUGAAUAACAUUUUCAGCCUCAAGUUAGUGACGAUAAAGAGGUUUCUUUUCUUAGUAGAUUAGCAAACAAGGACAUAGUUUAUAAAUUUAUUUAUGUAUUUUAGUAGUAGGAAACUCAUAAAUGGACAAUGUUUGUGAGCUAAUUAUGACAAUUGCAAAGUGAUGUGAUGAUUUGGACAUGUCAAACCUAAGGUGAGACUACCUUGAACCUAUUCUACUAAUAACACAAAAGUAAGAUUUUCAACUUCAAACACAUAGUUAACAUAUAAAUUAGUAUGUGGAAAAUAAAAACACUUAACUCAACAUCAAACUGAGAAUGAAAAUCAUAUUGAUAUGUAAAAAACAAAAAAAAAUUGCAAAUGAGAAGGUGGCUUAAGCUAAGAAAAUAAGGCAAAAUAAAGGAUCAAAUGGCAAAUUAAAAGACCCUAUGAAUUCUCUAACUCAUCUUUAAAAUUAUCUUUAAAGUAAUCAAAUUCCUUAUUAAAAGGAAUCCACUUCACAACUUCCUAUAAACUCAAUCUUUUUACAAAAAACUAGAUUGUAUAAAUUAUAACUCUCUAAUUGAUAUCACAAUUACACUCCAUAUUAGUUAAAGAUGGUAAUAUGAUUAUAUCCCACAACACCAAAAGCUCAAUCCAAUAAAGCAACACCAAUAGCUUUAAGUAAUGAUAGCAUGGCAUAGCAGAAAAAGAGAAUGUAUGAAAACUGAAAAGGUAAUAAUAAAUUUGAUAACUAUAAUCUUAGAUCUGGCAAAAAGUUAACACAAAUCUAAAUCUAAAAAAGAACAAAGGAACAAAAACAAAAACAUAAUUAUGAACAAUCCUAAACACUGAGUAAAGCACUACCCUUCAACCAAAAGUUUGCACUCUUGGAUACAAUGCAAUGCUCUUCACUUCCACUAAUAUGAGCAUUUGGAAUAUCAAAAUAAAUAUCUUACUUGCGAUUCCUUUAUUAUAAACAAGAAUGGAAUUUAAUCUCAAGUAUAUGCUAUAUUACAAUAAUUAAUGUCUUACCUCUAUAUAUGCAUUUUUUUUUCCCAACUUUAUAUAUAUUUAUUAUAUUUCAUAGCAGGCCAUCCCCAAAUAAUCCUAAAGCAAUGCAUUGUAUCCUUUAUGGGACUCUCGUUUCUUGUUCCAAAUGCUAAAUCUGACCACCAAUGCCACCAUUGCAACGAUCCCAAGCGUGACCGCCAUCACAUUAACUCUAGUUUUCACAUCCUGGAGGAGAAAAAAGCAAUUGCUCAAUCUAACAAACAAGUAAGAAACGUACCUUGAUUUCUCCUAGAGACACAGUGUCAUUGUCGCUCACCAUGAGAUAGAAGAUCGCCAUGACACCCGUGUGCUCCUGGGCAGAACUAUAAGAUGAGGAGAAGUGGAGCUUCUCACCGCUCGCGACCAUUAGAGUCCCUGGCUCGGGAAUGCAUGUAGACAUUCCAACAACGUAGCCAUCUUCGUUGCCAGGAGCUGAUCCAUUCCCGUAUAGAGGAAUCGAGGAGCACAAGUGCCGACCGUCCUGGAAAAGCCACACAAAUCGACAGUCAUGAGAGUUUUUUUUUACUUCUUACCUCUCCGUGCAUGCUCAUGCCCAUGCCUGCAGCGUGCUGAUGUGCUACUCCGUAGAUAAUGCUACCCCCUUUUGGAAUCACCAGGUGAUUCUCCAGCUGAUAAAUACAAUCGGGAUUUGAGGACGGGUCACAAGCAGGAACGUCAUACUCGGUCUGCAAGACAAUCGUAAGAAACAUAAGAGAAACUUUUAGAAUGAGGAAAAACGAACUUGGCAGCCAACUUGAGGGUCGACUGGAUCCCGCUUCCUGCUGUCUGUGAUGUCGAACAAAUAAACACGAACAGGUAGGACACACUCGUCCCACUCCACCCAUUCAACGGUAUAUUGCAUGUAGAAAACCCUCUUUGGUGCUUGAAAUCCCGGCUUCACUGCGCAUUUGGUCCCUUCGUAGCAGCAACGCAGACCGCCUUUGUAGCCUUCCUUCAAAGGUUGUCCCGAGAUUUCUGUUGUUACGUUGUACAAGCUGCAGCGGCACUCAUGGCAUAGUUGGGGAUCAUAUGUUCCUCUGCCGUCGAUGGCAUGGAGAUUGAGCACAAAGAGCUCCUCGUAGCCUUCCGGAGGGUUGCCAAUGCCGAUAGCAUAGGAUCCUGGAACAAAGUAGCUCGUGUGCCUUGUCUCGGCACCAAGACCCCAGAACUGUGAAUGGACGUUGUGCUGACAAAUUCCAUCGUUUCCAGUGAUUAUAGCGGAUGGCGAGCCUAGACGAUCAUGGAAACCGCCUCUGACCAGCUCUUUUCUCUCGGAGCUCUUCAGGUAGAGGCCAAAUACCACCCAGUGAUGCAGAUAGAGUUCGGUCAGAGGCACGGGAUUCCCAAGCUCAUCUACAAUCUCUCCCUGAAAGUUCUUGACGCCAAUAUGACCUUUGGGAAACUCGAUCUUGUAGUAUCGGUCUUGGACCUCUCCCGGCUCCAGAGAAAAAGCUGGAGAUUUGUAAGUCUUCCUUUGAAUUCUGGAGCAAUCCUUCGAUUCUGCUGGAGAUGAAGACCAUAGCAAAACGAUGGCCACGACCAGAACGAAAGGCUUCCCGUCCAUUUUUUAGCCGCUAUUCACCCCCGCCGUGCUCACUAGAAAAUCACCGCGGACGAAAACCACUUGUGUGGUAGGACCUUCGUUGCAUGCCGCCACCUAUGCUUAGUGGUUUGGACACCGCUUUCAGUCUGACAAGAGCACAUCCCUGUACAAUGGUCACAGUAUCCAUCUUCUUGGACGAUUCUGCGCCGACGAUUUCAGCACCAGGACUCACUGCCUCACUGAUUUCUGCAAUGAGCACAAGUAAGAAAAUGUCCACGGCUCAGCGUACCUUUGCCACCUGUCAAGAAAAUGAUCGCUCCAUUGUCGAAGUCGAUCGCGUUCAGAUCUUCCGGAUUGUAUUCGAGAGGAAUCGCCUCCCUGUCAAUCACUAGAUUAAGAAAAACUCAACACAGUAGAGAAAACCUCCACAGCCGGUCCUUCUGGAAUUCCUUGCUCCAACCUCGACAAAAGAUAAUACUGCUCCUCGGCAACCUCUUGAGCGGCAUCAUUCAAUGGCGCUGGAAAAGAAAAAAACAACGUGUAACUGUUGUUAUAGAUCAGCGUCACUAUGAAACUUACGUCCGAAAAGACACCUCGAAAGCCGAGACAUCCUGUCCUGGGAUCUUUAUGCCAACGCCAGCCUUCCAGUUUCCCGGCCCUUACUCUGCUGUUACUCGAGUUGCUGAAUUCCCCGCGAGUAGCAUUCUAUAACUGUGCUAUAAGUCGAGGAGGAGAGUUUACUUGAGAACUACAGAGACCCAAGUAGCCUUGAACGUAAUCGUCGGGAAGACACCUGAUGCGCUUCAAGACAUCGGCAUUUGCAUACCUGAGCUUUGUUCGAGGAUCCGUGUAAGGUGCGUUUACAAGGAGAAAAUAACGAGAGGAGAUUACACGGUGGAGAAAUGGCGAGACAGCACCUUACCUCAAAUCCAGAGACGUCGCAGUAUUUCUUGGAAGGAUAAAUGGAAGGAGGCGAUUCGAUGUUAACAUCUGCAAAUGUACGAGGCUAAACAAUGUACGAGGUACUGGUAUGGAAUCAGGAACUCACAGUUGCGGGAAGGAGAUGGAAAUUCUCGGCCUGGACGAUCUGCUUGAGAUGCUUCCAGUGCCUACCUCGCGUGUUGCCCUUGGGAUAGCGCUCCAGGAGCUGCGAUCGCAUGAAUGGAAGAAGCGCCGGGAGCACGCAUUCCGCUGCCUCGAUCGUCGCCGCACGACGAAGACGCCUGCGCUGCAUCACUGAAGGAAUCAUCUCACGAACCCUAAUAGCAUCUAUUCAAACGGAUCUCAUUAUCUACCCCAUAUCUCUCUCUCCAUACUGCAGCUGACCUGUACUGAAAUUUUAUAAUCAACUGAGGGCGAUGUUCUAACAACGGGCUUCAUCGCUAUCCUUGCUCGCACACAUAGCCUAUGUUCGAUAACGCCCUUCUCAUUCACUCUCUGUUAGUCUUCUUAUCAUGGCUGCGGGCGUGGGCGUCUUCAAGCUUCUUGUGGUUGCGGCAGUUCUCAUGUUCACAUUUGUUGCUAGCAUUGAGUCUGCGCGUGUCUUUGGAGGGGACUUUAUUCAACUAGUUCAAGGUGGUAGCAAUCCAAGUUUGAAGUGCCAAGACACAGGAGAUCCUUGCACGCAGAAUAAGGAUUGCUGCAAAGGAGGGUGUCUGUAUCAAGUUGGAAUUUGUGUUGGCUGGUAGGUGCCAAAAUGACAUUGUGCCAUAAGGUUUCCUCUUGCUUGCAUCCUGGUCACAAUGUCACAACUUCUAGAAGAGGGUUUCUUCCAGUUGUGCAGAUCUACAGAUUGACACAAGCUAUUGGAACAAUAGCACUGAAUAAUGAUUGAAAGAAGAAUUUCAGUGCUCCCCAAUUCUUGAAGGUCCCCAUUUUUCUUCCAAUUCUGUUGUUUGAGGACAGUCUUAUGACCUUAUACUCUUUCUUUUUUUUUUUGGUUUUUUCUUCUCCUUAGUCACUUCUUGGCUUGCGAUCAUCUAGGAGCACAAGUUUGUAAGCAAGCUUGUAAAUCUCAUUGGUGUUGUUAUGCGGACAUGGCAAUAGUUUUUAUGUAUAUGUACCUAGAGUUGAGACAUACACUCCUUGUAUGCUGAUCUCUCCACUACUUUUAUCUUAUCAGAACAAUUAGCUCCUUGAUCUUGGGCAUGGGAUUUGUUAAUCAAGAGGCCAAUGACAAAGAGGAUGAGUUUUUUAUUACAAUCCCUCUUGGGAUGUUUGAUGAGGUGUUGGAUGUGUUAGAGGUUUGAAGUAUCACAAACUUGAUUAUAGGUAUUAAAAAUUAUGUCUUUCUACUGCUAAAAAGUCAAUAUUGUUAGACCCUUUGCCAAAUUAACAUAAACCAAAAGGGCACUAAAGAAGAAAAUUUUAAUUAUUAGUUUGCACUUAUUACUAUUGGGUUUGUGAUAUUGAGUUUGGUCCCUCAAUAUUCGCUAAAUAAUAACUUACUGUGUUUAUUAAAAAUACUCUUGUUCAUGUGUUAAUCCCAUUUUGGUUCUAUAUAAUAAUUAUGGAAAGUAUAUAAAUCUGCUACUUAAACAUAUCUAGGAAAUGUAAAGAGUGUUAUUCCCAAAUUCAUAAUUUAUCAUCAUUUUAUAUUUAAUAAUUUUUUUAGAUUAUCCUAAAGAAUAAAUCCUAGGAUUUGGGUGAAAGCCUAAAGCAUGCAUAAAAAAAUUUAAAUAUAUAAUAAAGAUGGGUAAAUUGGGUAUGGAUGACUAACUUGAGAUAUUAUAUAGCUUCUAACAGAUAUUAUGACUUGAGAUAUUAUAUAGUUUUAUGUAUAACUUGGGUUUAACCCCAAACUCCAUACCAUGUUCGUUUGUAGAGUACUUCAUAUCCUUCUGUUAUGCAAAAAUAACUCCUGUUAUACUAAAAUAAUAUUAAACUUUAUUUGGCUUUAUUUUGCAUAUUAGUCUUGGCAUUGGGAUAUUGAAUGCUCUAAAAUUAUUUCAAUGUUACUUUAUGCAUUUUUAUUCCUUCACUCUUUAGUUGUACACUUAUAAUAAAACUCAAGUUUUAUUUUGUUGCAUUUACCACAUAUGUCCAAGGGUUAAGUUUUGCCCUAUAGUAAAUUACUAUAAGGUAUAGAGUGAAAACCAUAUACACUACAUAAUAGGUGAUUAAGAUAUUUUAACAACCCACAUCAAGAAUUGGGUCAAGAUUCAAGAACUAGUUCUUUACAUGAAUCUUCAGCAAUUUGGAAAGAUUCUUAUGAAGAUUCAAGUGCUUAAUAGCAAUAGAAGUGAGAGCCUAAUAGUAAACCAUAUACUAAGAUUGAAACCAUAAUAAUGAGCAAGAGUGGGUGUGUAAAUAAAGCUAAAAGUAGUUGAUUGAUGAGUUUUUUAAAUGUGUUCCCCAUACUUAUUAUCUCAUACUAACUAGGCAUGGUUUAAACUUUGAUUCAACCUUGAAUCAACCACUUGAUUAUGAGCGAAAGUGUUUGCGCUAAAGAUGAUAUCAUAUGUAAUUAUGCCUAUGUGGUAGUAGCUUCUAUAUAUAUGUACCCAUUUAUAUAAAGUUCAAAUAUUUUCUUCCUCCUCAUGUAUGCAUCUCUCCACUACUUUCAAAGCAUAGUAAAACCUGGAAAAGGUAAUUUUUUUGUUGAUCACUCUUUCUAUUUCAAUUGACAAGAUUGAAUUAUGUCAAUAUAAUAUACUCUUGACCGAAGUAUAUUUCUACCCUAAAUUGGAAAUUGUAUGUAUUAGGCAUUCAUGCGUCUUGUGGAGUAUCUAUAAACAAAAGUAUUUACUAUGGGACCAAAGCAAAUAAUAUAGGUUUGAUUCCCAUUGAUUAGUAGCUAUUUAAAAUAUACAGACAAAAGUAUCUAUGGUGGGACUGUGGCUCAAUAGGGGUAAAAGGACAAUAAGGACAUUCACAUUUUUGCAAUGGAGUAUCUACAAACAAAAGUAUCUACUGUGAAACCAUAACUUAGUAGGGGUGAAAGGAUAAUAAAGACAUUUACAUCUCUAAAGUAGAGUAUCUAUAGACAAAAAUAUCUACUAUAGGACCAUGGCUCAAUAAAGCUGAAAGGACAAUAAGGAUGGGACUGUAGCUUAGUAGGGGUGAAAGGAUAAUAAAGAUAUUUACAUCUUUGAAGUGGAAUAUCUACAAACAAAAGUAUUUACUGUGGGACCAUAGCUUAGUAGGGGUGAAAGGAUAAUAAAGACAUUUAUAUCUCUGAAGUGGAGUAUCUACAAACAAAAGUAUCUAUUGUGGGACCAUAGUGUAAGCCACAAAUUUUUCUUUUCCAAUUUGCCAGCUUACCUCGUCUAUCCGUCCAACACCGCCUUGGCCUUUGCUAAGUUCCCUUGCCAAGGUUCUCGCCUAUGGUACUAGCUCCUACUUGGUCUCAGCUACUUACUGCACGAGCAACGGAGUGUUAGCCAUCCAUCUACGGAUUCCCAAAUCACUCCCAAUCCCCCUCCCCGGGUUAGACUGGACUUAAGGUUCGGCUACACUCCCCGCAAGCACAAGCAGCCAAGCACACCAAGCUUCCAGGUUCCUAACUUCCCUCGGUACCACAAGACUUGAUCAUGGGACCCUCUAAAUCCCAAGUCUUGAGUGCAACACUUGCUUCGGGACGCCGGGGCGAAACACCGUGGCCUAGCGGCCCGGUAUGGGUACCUCUCGCCCCCCACUUCCAUCCCGAAGGAAGGCCCAAGCCCCUAGGAAGGGCGAGGACCAAUGAGCCGCAUGGUACUCAAGUGGGGCACCACUCCACAUGAGCUGGGAGCACCGCAAUUGGUUUCCCUUUCGGGAGUGGGAGCUGCUCUUGAGCACUUCCUUGGAUGGCCCCUCCGGCACCAGCCAAGUCCAUGCUCACUCCCACCCAAGGCCCCUCGGUCCCAGUCCCAACCUCAAGUCAGUUUGGAAGCCCAACUGGAGAGUCCCUUCAAAACUGGUUCCUGGACCUCACUAUCCCUACUAUACUUUUGGAACCCCCUGCAGCCCCCCCCCCCCCCUGGGAGACGCACGCUUUGGGCUUUCACCCCUUGACCCGUAUUAGUAUUUGGACUUAGUCUCUGGCUCGAUCUCGGACCCGAUUUCGGAUCCGACUUCGGAUUCGGGUUUGGACUCGAUUCCGGACUCGAUCUCGGACCCGAUCUUGGACCCGACCUCGGACUCGACCUCGGACUCGGUCUUGGACCCGAUUUCGGAUCUCGGACUCCGUCUCGAACUCGGUCUCGAACUCGGACUCGAACUCGGCCCCCGAGCCGGUCUCGGACUCGAUUUCGGACUCCAUCCUGAACUCGGUCCUAGAGUCGGUCUUGGACUCGAUCUUCGACUUGGUCCCAUCCGAUGAACUCUUUGUCAUUUUGGUCAUGCUUUCGGGGUUCCUUUAGCCUACGACACCUCGGCGAGUUGGUUCCUUACAACUCCACCACCCAUAGAAGAAGUUCGAUGCCCACAUCGAACGUCUCGUUUUAUCCUACGACUUGUUGACCAUGUCUCCGGGGGCAUCCCCCCACUUAGCGGUGUGCCUAAGUUAGCCUCCCCGGCCAAGAGCCCAUGACAACGGAAUAUAGAUGUCCCUAUACUCCUCCCCUCACCACGUCCUAGUAUAGGGUCGGGACUUGAACCCAGCCUUGCUUUACUAGGGGGUUGGGACUUGAACCCAACCUCCGUAGAAUACGUCUACGGUUUCGACAUCCCCGCAGGGAGUCGGGCGUAGCUCCCUACGCCUGGUCGACCUAGCUAACCCAUGCUAAUUAGCUUACCUUCGGCGCGCCUUCGGGUCCCAAUAUAUGCCAUUGCUCAACUUCUCAAAUUGAUACUUUUAAUUGAACUUUGCAUAAGUACAUAGAGUUCUGCCAUGCAGAAAUUCCUCCACUAGAUCUCGCGCGUUCACUAGGUUCUCCUCUGGUUCCCAUGUUGCUUCGCAGUGUGGAAAUCCUUUCCACUUCACAUGGAACUCUCUCACCUCGUGUCCUUGUCGCUUGCUCUUGCGCGCAUUGAGGAUGGCCUCGACUUCGUAUUCCUCUUCCCCUUGGAUAACCUCAGGUAAAGGUAUUACUUGGUCCUUGCGAAGCGGAUCCUCAAAGUACGGCUUGAGUAAGUUCACGUGGAACACUGGGUGCAUCUUCCCCAUCUCUCGAGGAAGUCGGAGUCGGUAAGCCACUUUACCGAUUCGUGCCUCAAUCUCGUAAGGCCCCGCGAACCUGCUUAAGGAACUCAAGAUCAAUUCAUUUACAGGAAUACAUGCAUUUUUACCUUUGGGUCAACUUUCGGCUGAUCCCACUUGGUAGCCUGAGGUUCUUGGUGUUCAGCCACACCUUCUCCCCAGCUUGGAACUCCACAUCUCGGCGCUUUAGGUUCGCAUACUUGGUUUGCCUUUGUUGAGCCCGUUCCAAGGAAUCCCUCACUAGAUUCCAAAUGUUGAGUCUUUCCGCCGUAAAUGCCUCCACUGCGGGUAGCUCUCCAUGAUACUCGGCCACGCCGAGUUCCACAGGACCUUCAAUAGCUCGCCCAUUGAUGACUUCCCAUGGACUCACCCCGAUACUCGAAUGUGGUGAGUUGUUAUAACACAUUUCCGCAAGUCCCAAAUGACUUACCCAGUCGGUCUGGUCUCCCGAGACAUAGCAUCGCAAAUAAUCCUCCAGCUGCCUAUUCACCCUUUCCGUUUGUCCGUCUGUCAAGAAGUGUUAGUGCCAUCAAUCUUGACUCAAUACCCAUUACCUGUUUGUGGGUGAUAGGCCGUGCUGAAUUUCAACUUGGUGCGAUACUGUUCUAGGAGUGUCCUCCAGAACCUACUGGUGAAGAUCUUAUCUCGAUCUGAGAUAAUCUCUUCUGGCCUUCCCCGCACUCGAACCACUUGUUCGAAGAACAGCUUCGCCACACCUUCCGCAUCCACAUCCGUUGUGGUGGGUAUGAAAUGUGCCAUCUUUGAAAAUCGGUCCACCACCACGAAUAUAGCAUCGAACCCCUCGCUUGGGGGUAGUCCCGUGAUGAAGUCCAUCGUGAGACAUUUCCACGGACGAUCUGGAAUGGGGAUGCUUUGCAACAAGCCCCCACUAGCCUUCGUCACGGCUUUGACCUGCUGACAUGUUGGACAUGUCUUUACAUAGUCUUGGACGUCCUUAGCCAUAUCUGGCCAGUGAUACUUCCUUUUGAGUAAGCCCAUCGUCUUGGGCACUCCGCCGUGUCCCGCGAGAGGUCCGUCAUGACACUCUUCCAAGGCUACCUUCCUUAGUUCCCCUUCUGGAACAUACACCCUCGUUUGCUUGUAAUAUAUGAGUCCGUUGCGUUCCGCAUAGCCCGUUUUCUCUUCCGUUGGCAGCUCACCUCUCUGGUGAGCUUCCCGCGCCUCCAGAUUCCUCAGCAACACUUCUUGUGCUAGACCAUCACUCUCGUAUGCGGUCCGCACAUCGUCCCAAAAGGUUGCUGUCGCGCUAGAUAUCGCCAACUUCAAGCUCGCUUUUCGACUUAGCGCAUCUGCCACGAUGUUGCUCUUCCCAGGCUUGUACAGGAUCUCGCAAUCAAACUCGGCCAAAGCAUUGGCCCACCGACCUUGUUUUCCCCUUAGGUCGGGCUGUGACAAGAAGUGUUUCGUUGCCACAUUGUCCGUGUAAACCUUGAAGUGUCUCCCAAGGUAGUGUCGCCACUCCUUGAGCGCCUUGACCACCGCAAACAAUUCCUUCUCGUGGGCAGGCCACUUCCGUUGAGCCUUGUCCAGCUUCUUCGAGAAGAACGCUACUGGAUGGUUGUCUUGCUUCAAAACUGCGCCCAACGCAAAGUCCGAAGCAUCCGUGUCUACCUCAAAGUCCUUACCAAAGUCUGGUAAUGCCAACACCGGAGCCUUCCUCAACUUCCCCUUGAGGUGGACGAAUGCCGCCUCGCAUUCCGCUGUCCAUACCAUCUUCCCUUUUCCUGUUUGGUCCGUUAAGGGCAGGGCUACUCUCGAAUAGUGUCUGAUAAACUUUCGAUAGUAGUUGCAUAGCCCCAGGAACGCCCUCAACUCAUGUACAUUCGAUGGUCGUUCCCAUUCCUGGAUCGCUUGGACCUUCUUCGGGUCCACCUUGAGCCCGUCCUGGCCCACCACAUGCCCGAGAAACUUUACCUCUUGUUGAGCAAAGUCACAUUUGCUCUCUUUAGCAUACAGUUUGUGUUCCCUUAGUUUCUCAAACACUUUCGCCAAGUGUUCGGCAUGCUCCUCUAGCGUCUCGCUAUAGAUCAGGAUGUCGUCAAUAUAGACGACCACGAAGCGAUCCAGAUAGGGUACAAAGAUGUGGUUCAUCAACGCCGAAAACGUUGCCGGCGCAUUGCACAGCCCAAAGGGCAUCACCAGAAACUCAAAGCUCCCAUACCUCGUUCGACAGGUUGUCUUCUCGACAUCUUCCUCAGCUACCCUGAUCUAGUAGUAUCCUGACCUUAGGUCAAUCCUCGAGAAGUAUUUUGCCUUUCCCAACCUAUCGAACAGGUCCUCGAUCCUUGGCAAAGGGUACUUGUUCUUCUUGGUAUACUUGUUGAGCAACCGGUAGUCUAUGCACAUGCGCAUAGAUCCAUCUUUCUUUUUCACAAAUAGCACCGGCGCCCCAUACGGCGACUUACUCAACCUAACAUACCCUUUGUCCACCAACUCCUCUAGUUGGCUCUUGAGCUCCUUGAGUUCUUUUUCGUUCAAUCGGUAGAGUGGGCGAACCACCGCCUCAACACCCUCGACCAGCUCAAUCUUAUGUUUUAUCGGUCGUGCGGGGGGCAACCCCGCCGGUAGCUCCUCCGGCAUCGUAUCCUGGAAUUGGUCCAGCACCUGCUGGAUCACUAAAGGUACUUCUUCCGUUCUUGUCUUUUUGUCACUCUUCACCGAGAGUAAGCACAAAAAGGCUGCCUUAGUUCCUUUAGUGAGUUGUCCUCUCGUGGACACCAGGUUUAAGCAUGACUCUUUGGCCUUGCUUUGCCCUACCUUUAGAUCUUGGGCCUCCACCCUAGAUCUUCUUCCUUGGGCAUUCGCCAAUACCACAAGGUUCCUACCUUGUCCAUGCAGGGCUACCACGAACCGAUUAAACAAAUCCAUUCCGAAGAUCACGUCAAAUCUCGCCAUGUCCAAGACGGUGAAAUCCAUGUCCACUUUCCAUGUCCCCACUUCGACUCUCGCUUGUCGAAGUACCUCAUCGGUGCUUUGGCUACCUUGAACAAACUCUAUAGUCCUUGGUUCGCCUAGCCGCUGCACCGUUAGUCCGGCUUGCCGGACUAUGUCUGCAGCCACAAAAUUAUCCGAAGCACCCGUGUCAAUAAGGAUCUUAACAAAGCUACCUCCGAGCUUCCCUCGGAGGGCUAGUAGAUGUCGCGAACGACUCUCUACCAAAGUUGCUCGUGUAAUGAGUAACUUUGAGUUAGGGACUGGAUCACAUACCUCAGUUUGGACUUCACCCGACUUGAUGGCCAUAUUGGCUCUGGCCUUCUUCGGGUAGGGACAUUCCCUCGAGAAGUGUCCCGCUUCGCCGCAGUUGUAGCAUAUGUUGUUUCCCACGCUGCUAUACGACUUGACCUUCUUAUCCAUGGGUUUGUCUUUUUUCGCUUGACUCCCCCACGUACUCGCUCGCUGGCCACCGGAUUUGCCUUUCCGGAACCCCGAGGACUCAUUCUUAGAGAAACUCUUUUUGAAUUUCCCCUUGCUAUACGUUCCCCUUGGUUUGGCCCCUUUGCUAAAUGUGGAUCCCGACCCCGUCGUGUUCCCCUUUCGCAGGUUAUCGUUGAAAUGCACCUUGAUGGCCGCAUCCAACGCUUCUUUGUAGUUGAUCGGGUUCCACCGCAUCACCUCACCGCGAGCCCAGGUUUGCAAACCUGAUAUGAAGGCAUGGAACGCAUCCAUAUCCCCCAUGUCCGUGACAAGUAUCCUCUUUGCCAUGAACCCAUUCACAUAUUCCUGGAUGGUUCCAGUCUGCUUCAGCCUACUCAGCUCAUCUCUCAGAUGUAGAGUGGCAUUCGGAGGAACGUAUGUUGCGCGGAUCCUCGCCUUCAUCAUGUCCCAAGUGGCCACUAGUCCUUCGUUGGCCUCCGUCGUUCUCCACCAAGACUUGGCAUUAUCUGCCAAGUAUGGUUUUGCACAUGGGACCUUCUCCGAGCUCGGUAACCGCAACGCUCGGAAGUAGUCCUCCAUAUCGUAAAACCAAUCCUCCACCACCUUAUAGUCAUUCACUCCCUUGAAGACCGGUGGGGGCUUCGGUUUGUACUUGGGAACUGCCUGAGGGACUGAUUCUACUUCGGUCUGUUCGACCUUGUCUGGUUUUGCCUCAGUCCCGGCCGAAAGAUCCGCACCUUCUGCGCUGCCAGCAUCCGCAGUCUUUUUCUUUUUCUUCUGCCUCUCGUCACGCUUUAGCUUGCGUACGAGAGUUUCCAGCAGGGCAUUGGUCUGUGCCAAUUGUCCUUCUAGCACGUCCAAUCGAGCCUUGGACGACCGAACCUCGCCACCGGACUCUUGUUUGGAAGUUUCCUCACUAGAGUCCUCCUCAUGCAAGGAUUCCUCAUCCAUAGCCUCUUGUUCGACCGGAGGCUCCAGCUCCGGCGGAGGUUCCGUCUCCGCCUGGGUUCGCUUACGCCCUGCCCUUGCCAUCUCCCAGCAAUCCGCCUCUAUCCUUCGCUAGAACUGAGAUAAAGGCUCCGAUACCAAAUUGUAAGCCACAAAUUUUUCCUUUCCAAUUUGCCAGCUUACCUCGUCUAUCCGUCCAACACCGCCUUGGCCUUUGCUAAGUUCCCUUGCCAAGGUUCUCGCCUAUGGUACCAGCUCCUACUUGAUCUCAGCUACUUACUGCACGAGCAACGGAGUGUUAGCCAUCCAUCUACGGAUUCCCAAAUCACUCCCAAUCCCCCUCCCCGGGUUAGACUGGACUUAAGGUUCGGCUACACUCCCCGCAAGCACAAGCAGCCAAGCACACCAAGCUUCCAGGUUCCUAACUUCCCUCGGUACCACAAGACUUGAUCAUGGGACCCUCUAAAUCCCAAGUCUUGAGUGCAACACUUGCUUCGGGACGCCGGGGCGAAACACCGUGGCCUAGCGGCCCGGUAUGGGUACCUCUCGCCCCCCACUUCCAUCCCGAAGGAAGGCCCAAGCCCCUAGGAAGGGCGAGGACCAAUGAGCCGCAUGGUAUUCAAGUGGGGCACCACUCCACAUGAGCCGGGAGCACCGCAAUUGGUUUCCCUUUCGGGAGUGGGAGCUGCUCUUGAGCACUUCCUUGGAUGGCCCCUCCGGCACCAGCCAAGUCCAUGCUCACUCCCACCCAAGGCCCCUCGGUCCCAGUCCCAACCUCAAGUCAGUUUGGAAGCCCAACUGGAGAGUCCCUUCAAAACUGGUUCCUGGACCUCACUAUCCCUACUAUACUUUUGGAACCCCCUGCAGCCCCCCCCCCCCUGGGAGACGCACGCUUUGGGCUUUCACCCCUUGACCCGUAUUAGUAUUUGGACUUAGUCUCUGGCUCGAUCUCGGACCCGAUUUCGGAUCCGACUUCGGAUUCGGGUUCGGACUCGAUUCCGGACUCGAUCUCGGACCCGAUCUCGGACCCGACCUCGGACUCGACCUCGGACUCGGUCUUGGACCCGAUUUCGGAUCUCGGACUCCAUCUCGAACUCGGUCUCGAACUCGGACUCGAACUCGGCCCCCGAGCCGGUCUCGGACUCGAUUCCGGACUCCAUCCCGAACUCGGUCCUAGAGUCGGUCUUGGACUCGAUCUUCGACUUGGUCCCAUCCGAUGAACUCUUUGUCAUUUUGGUCAUGCUUUCGGGGUUCCUUUAGCCUACGACACCUCGGUGAGUUGGUUCCUUACACAUAGCUCAGUAGAGGUGAAAGGACAAUAAGGACAUUUACAUAUCUAAAGUGGAGUAUCUACAAACAGAAGUAUUUAUUGUGGGACCAUAGCUUAGUAGGGGUGAAAGGACAAUGAGGACAUUUACAUCUCUGAAGUGGGUGUGAGUAUCUAUUAUGGGACUGUGGCUCAAUAGGGUGAAAGGACAAUAAGAACAUUUAUAUCUCAUGUGAUCAUAGGAUAAAUAGAGAUAAAAUAGCCACUAAAGGUUCUUUAAUUAAGUAAUUACCCCUUUUCCAAUUGACUUUAAGGGCUACCACCAAUUUUUAUAGGAUAUAUAUCUUUUUUUAUUGGUGUUCUACCAUCUGUAACUGAUAUAGAGUGUAAUUAUGACAUCAAUUGAAGAGUUAUAAAUGAUGCAAUUUAGUUAUUAGACAAUGUUAAAAGAUUGAGUUUAUAUGAAAAUGUGAAGUAGAUUCCUCUUAAUAAAGAAUUUGAUUACUAUAAGGAUAACUUUAAAGAUGAGUUGGAGAUUUGAUAAGAUAGAUAUUAAUCAUUUAAUUUGCCAUUUGAUCCUUUUUAUGGCCUUUUAAUCUUUCUUAACUUUUUUCUUAUUUCUUAGCCUAAGCCAUCUUCUCAUUUGCAAUAUUUUCUGUUUUUGAUAUAUAAAUAUGAUUUUUAUUUUUAAUUUGAUGUUGAGUUAAGUGUUUUUUGUCCUCCUCAUAUUAAUCUAAAUGCUAAGUAUAUGUGUGAAGUUAAGAAUCUUACUUUUAUUUUAUUAGUAGAAUCUUUAACACCCAAAGUUCAAUGUAGUCUCAUAUUUGGAAAAUUCAGGUUCAACUUGUUUAAAUUAUCACAUUACUUUUCAAUUGUCAUAAUUAACUCACAAAAAUUGUCCGUUCAUACAUUUCCUAUUACCAAAAUACACAAAUAAAUUUAUAAACCAUGUCCUAGUUUGCUAAUUUACUAAGAAAAGAAACAUUUUUAUCCUCAUUAAUGUGAGAUUUGAGAUUUAUCAUAUUUUAAAUAGCCACUAAUCAAUGGGAAUUGAACUUAUGUCAUUUGCUCCAAUACCACAUGUAGCACACUCUAUUUCUCUCCUCUUAAGCCAAUUGGAAAAAAGGGUAAUUGCUUGAUAAAAGAGUUCUUAGUGGUUAUUUUAUCUCUAUUUAUCACGUAAGGUUUAAAAGAUCCACAGUGAUAGUAUAUUUGAAUCUCAUCCCAUGAUCAUAUGUGCUAUAAUAACAAUACAUUAAAGAUAAGAAACAUUAAUAUAAUCACAUCCCACAGCACCAAAAACUCAAUCCAACGAAGCAACACCAAUAUCCUCAAGUAAUGAUAGUAUGGUAUGGUGAAAAAAAAAGAAUGUGAAGAUUGAGAAGGAAGAAUAAAUUUUAUAACUAUAAUCUUAGAUUUGGCAAAAAGUUAACAUAAAUCUAAAUCUAAAAGAGAAUAAAAGAACAAAAAUAAAAACAUAAUUACAAACAGUCCAUAACAUUGAGUAAAUCACUAUCAAAAACUUUCCUCUCCAACAAAAAAACUUUGCACUCUUAAAUACAGAUUGCAAUUCCACUAAUAUAAGCAUUCAAAAUAUCAAAAUAAAUAUCUUAAUUGGGAUUCCUUUGUUAUAUACAAGAAUGUGUGAGUACAUGGAAUGUAGAAAUAGAAUAUAAAAAUAUCCAUAUCAAUUAGCCCAAAAACCAUAACUUAUAUACAAAAGCAAGUGGUUCAGAUUGAAACCAAUUCAAUAGCUAUUAAAAUCCUUCUAUACUAAUAUUAAUAUAUGGUAUUGUAGCUAUACAUUUGGAACUCACAUCAUCCCUUCCUUUCGGAAUGAUGGAAGAUAGUUAGGGUUAUGUAAUGGAUGGGUUGGGAUCUAGAGGAAUAUCAAGAGGAAGCAUUGGUAGAUCUAUAGGUGAUGCUAGUUGUUCAUAAUCUCUUUGUAUGAAGCAUUUCAGCCGUUGCAUAUGAACAAUUUUUGAAAGAUUGACUUGUUGGACAUUAUGUUGAACCUCAUAAACUUGCAAUCUAAUUUGCCGCAACACUUGAUAUGAUCCCUUCCAUUGAGCAAGGAGCCUCUUAGACAAACCACAUACCAUAAGAUUGGGAAAAUGAACUAACACAAAGUCAUCCACUUUGUACUUUGCAAGUAGACAAUGAUGGGAGUUGUAGUGUCAUUGUUGUCCCACUUGUAUGCGGCCCAGGUGUUCGGAAAACUUUGCUCAGACAAGUGGAAAAAUGCUUUUCAAAUAUUAAUCCCAAAACCUAGCAUCGACAGCUCGUGGCAAUCAUGAAGGGAAACUCAACUUCGUUAGUAGUAUUGGAUCAUGACCAUAUAAGAGUUUAUAUGGUGAAGCACCAAUAGAACUUUGCAUCUUUGUGACAUAUGCAUAUCAAAGAGAUGGCAAAUAACUAUCCCAAUCUAAAUAUUGAAAGUUCACAUACUUUGCAAUCAUCCCUUUGAAGGUCCAAAUGAGCCAUUCCACUAAACCAUAUGACUGUAGAUAAUAAACAUUUGUAAAAGUGUGGUGUAUCCUCAACUAAGAUAUCAAAAUGUGAAAAUCCUUAGCUAUAAAUGUAGGAUUAUUAUCUGAAAGAAUUCACUCCGGACAAGAAUGCUAGAACACUACUCGAUUAAGGAGGAAGUAUCUAACAACAGUUGCAAACACACUAGUAAGAGCACUGACUUUCACCUAGUGAGUCAUAGUCAAAAGCAAUAAUGACAUACUCAUUGCUAGUAAUUGACUGUGGAAAAGGCCCCAUCAAAUCAAAUGCCACUAACUAAAAUGGACAAGAAGUUGCAAUUGACUCCAACUAUCCUUUCGUAGCACAAGAGGGAGUAUUAUGAGCUUAGCACUAAAUGCAGCUACACAUAUGCCAGAUAAUAUUAUAUUGCAUCUCUGGCCAAUAAAAAGACCUAUGCAACUUCUCGAUCACAUGAUAAUAUCCCACAUGCUCAUCUAGAAUAGGAGAAUCAUGGUAAGCAUGAAAAAAGCGUGGAAUAAAGAUAAAAGGCAUCACCAGCUGUAAAUGAUUAUUAGGAUCUAUCCCCUAUAAAUGCUGAAAUAGCAAGUUAUUAGCAAGUGAUGUAAGAUUCUCAAACCUAUUGCAAAGCUUUCGAAUCCAUGGCUCAUCUUUUAAGCCUCACAAAUCUUAUCAAGAAAAGGUAAAUUUUACUCUACACCUUAUGGACAUUAAAUAUCAAGUACAACAAUUGCCGAUGGCACAGAAUCCUUAUCCAAAAAAUCCAUAAAUAUUGGAAUAAUAGACUUAUCAAAAACAUGAGAAAAGAACAAAGAAGGAAAAGGAGUUCAAGAAAGGGCAUCAUCAUUAGCUAUAAAAUUCCUUAGACAAUGAACAACAUCAAAAUUAUAUAUAUAAAGCUUCAAAGCUCAUCAAGCCGUACGAUUAACCAAGUUCUUCUGCUUAAAUAAUAAAGUAACUAUAGUAUAAUCACCUUUUAGUAAUGUUUGAGAACCAUGUAAAUAUACAUAAAGUUUCUCGAAACCCCCCAACAACUUUCUAGUGGAUAAUGGACAAGGUUCUUUGUGAUAUGCCAAAAGUCACUGCUAACUUCAUCGAUGAUGUCUUGAUCCACUUAGAAGGGACGUAGGAGGAACACAUAUGUAAUGUUCAUAAAGUGUUAGAUUGGCUACGGGAAGUUGGUUUAAAGUUGAAGUGAUUAAAGUGGUUGAAGUGUGUGUUUGGUUCCAAGGACACAACUUCUCUUGAAUAUUAUAUUUUUCGUAAUAGUUUGUAAGUUGGUUUUAACAAACUUGUGGCUGUUUCAAAGUCCUUUAUGCCGACGUGUGCGAAUGAUAUGCAAUACUUCCUAGGCAAGGUGCAAUAUCUCAAUUGUUUUGUUGAUCAUCUUUCUAGUCAUACUACACUAUUGUGAGUAUUGUUAAAGUCAUCAAUAUCAUCUUUCAUCUGGUAUGUGGACUGUAAACGGGCUCUCAAAAAGUUAUUGAUAACUCCUUUAGUUUUGGCAUAUCCUAACUAUACUUGACUUUUCAUUUUGCAUAUGGAUGUUUCUAAUAUCAAUUUUGAAGGUGUGUCAAUGCAAGAGAGCUUGAGUAUGCCUAAUCAGUGCCAUCCCAUUGCAUAUAUCAGCUAGACAUUACAAUCAUCAGAGUUGAACUACUCCACAAUAGAGAAGGAGUGUUUAUGUUUAGUAACAAUUUAGCACUGUUCAAAUCAAAUAGCAUCUCUAAACAUUCGUACAAACCAAAUGAUAUACAAAAAGCAAUCAAAGGAAUAUCUUCCUCAGCCAUCAACACUUGCCAGUACCUAAAAGCAAAAUCUAGCUUGGUAAAUCAAUGACUUCUCCCUAGAUGAUCUAAAAGAUGACUAGUGUGAAGAAGAAGGUACAUAUCCAAAAUCAUCACUUUGUUUAACGGAUGAUAGUCGAUGCAAAAACAAAUACUCUCAUUAUGCUUCAUCACAAAAUGAGGUUCACACGUCUAAAGAUUCUGUGACUUUUGAAUAACACCUUUUUCCAACAUCUCCUUAACGUUGAUAUGUAAAAUUAUGAUCUUUUUUGGUGACCGACAACAAACGAAAACUUUGAUUGGACAAGCAUCCCCAAUUGGAAUAGGAUGACGUGUUACAAUUUUGGCCCUAGAUAACAGAUCAAAUUCAAAAAGAUCAAUAUACUCCUUCAUGAACUGGUCAAUUGCUACAACACAAAGAUUGUCAGUGGGAUCCAAAAAAGGAACAAAAGAACAAAAUGAAAAUAUAAGAAAAAGUAAUGGAGAGAUAAAAGUGAUGGAAACAAAAGUAGAAAUAAGAUGAAAAGAUAUAAAAGUGAGAGGAAUAAAAGAAAUAUAAAAAAGUAUAAAACAAAAGUGAGAAGCCUCAAAAUCACAUUUGGCAUUAUUGUGCCACAACAAAUCUAUACCAAGAAUGAGGUCAAAAACUUGAUUUGGCACCACCCGCAAUGAUUGCAACUCAAGUUUGAGAUCUCCCACACACAUAACUAGAUCCACCUCAUCCUAUGUACAUACGUGUGUAGCCGUUGCCAUAAAGAAUGAAAACUAGCUCUGAUGUAUAACGCAAAUGUAGACGAUAACAUGUAGUAAUAGGCUAAGCAAUAGAAGAUAAACUCAAGUCUGUAUCAACCAAUACAAAGAGAAUAAUAGAAGAACUUUUGUGAUAACAACAAGCUUAGAAAGUAAAUACCAGAUCGAAUGAACCCCUUAAUGAUACUUUUGAAAGAAAAAUGGAAAGGUUACUAACUUAUUCACGCAAGGACCCUCUGUUACUCAUGCAACUCCUCAUUUCCCAUUUCUCAGUGUUCAGACUUUCCACUGUAGCAGCACUAAUAAGAAAUUGUUGAUGCCAAAGUCUCCACCUAGGAAAUGGAGGUUGCCAAUCUGGAAAAUGCCGAUAACGUUAAUAAAUGUGAUUAACUUCAUCAUACACCUAGCAAGGGACAUCAUAGCCACGACCACAUCCUCGCUCUUGUCCUUGAAUUCAAGCAGCAGCAGCAUGAACCUCCAUAAGAACAUGACUAUCUUCUAUAGGAAGUAAAGUUGAAGGAUGUGUAACAAAAAGUGGAAGAGGCAACAUUUUAUAAUAUUGUGCCAAGUGAAAAGCAUUGUAAAGAAUGGUUAAAGUAAGUGUAUGCAUAAGUCUUACAAAAUCUUAACAAAAUGUUAGCUACAACAUUCCCAAUUUGAUCCACUUUAAUAUAUUUGGUUCUGCACAAAGUAAAAGGCUUUGAAAACAAAUACUAAAUUACAUCACUGACUCAAAUUGACCUUGAUGAAGACAAUGUAAUUGUUAGAAGGCAUAAUCACAAUUAUCAACAUGUCUAAAUGUGCAUUUAAAGAUAUCUGAAAGAAUGCUCCAAUCCUUAUGAGUGGUUGUGCUCAAACCAUUGUACCAUUGUAAUGCCAUCCUUUAUAGACACUUGGAAACUCACGCAAACGCUAAACAUCUUUCCAAGAAUAAUAUGUGGCAAUCACCAUAAAGUGAUCAAACCAAUAGUACCCAGGAUUCUUAUAGAAGAUCUUUGGCAAUACGUGAAGAUUGGCAACAAGAGCAAGAAAAGUUGUACCAUAUGCCAUGAAUAUCAUUAUCAACUAAGACUGAUUAUUCAAUUGCAACCACAUAACAUUGAGUAAUUACACCAAUUAUUGCAUUAGAGUCAAAAAGGGGAGGAGGGUGCUACUCUACCAUGAAAUGAAUAAAAAGGAAAAAAGCAAAAGAAAAGAAAUUGAAAAAAUUAUAAAGAAAAGGAGAUUUAGACAAUGCAAAAGUUGAAUUUAAAGUAGAAUCCCAAAUCCAAGCACUCCUUUGAGACAAUCAAAAUUGCCCCUCACCUCCACCACGUAUAAAGGAAUCUAGGAGCAGAAGUGCCAACCAUCCUGGAAGAGCCGCAUAAAUUGACAGUCAUGCAGAUAGACUUCGGUCAGAGGCAUGGGAUUCCCAAGCUCAUCUACAAUCUCUCCCUGAAAGUUCUUUGACCUUUGGGAAACUCGAUCUUGUAGUAUCGGUCUUGGACCUCUUCCUGCUCCAGAGAAAAAGCUGGAGAUUUGUAAGUGCUCCUUUGAAUUCUGGAGCAGUCCUUCGAUUCUGCUGGAAAUGAAGGCCAUAGGAAAACGAUGGCCACGACCAGAACCAAAAACUUCCCGUCCAUUUUUUAGCUGCUAUCCACCCCCGCCGUGCUCAACUCACCACAUGGGUCGUAGGACUUCACCUGUAUGCCGUCACCUAUGCUUAGUGGUUUGGACAUCACUUUUAGUCUUACAAGUGCUUGGACGAUUCAGCGACAAUUUCCGUACCAUGAGUCGCUGUCUUCAAUGUGCUUCCUAUGAGCAAUAGACCACACGGCUUCCAUAGACCAGCUCUUGGCCCACAUGCGGUUUGUGGGGAUAUAUCCGAGAUCUCGCGUCCCAGAAGAUCGAUCUUGUCGAAGACAAUCGAGACCUUCCAGAUUGUAUUAGCGGAAUCGCCUCUAGAUUAAGAAAAAUCGAACACAGUUCUUGUUCCAACCUCGCUUGAAAGAAAAAAACCAGAAAAAAUGUAGAACUGUUGUUAUAGAUCAGAUGAAACUGGACUCCGCGGGGGACUGCAGUGGAGUUUUAUUGCACCUCUCUCAAAACUUCUCCGGUUCUUCUUCCUUCUAAAAAAACUCUAAAAAAACACUAAAAAAGUUGAUCUGCACAACCACGAAGUUUAUAGUUCUCAUGAAAUUUUUGAUCUUUCAUAUUCGAACACAUACUCGCAAACUGUGCAGAAGUUUGAUCAUCCUUUUUUCCCCAAAUGUAUAGACAGAUAUGAGCCACAAAUAAUCUUAUCAUGGCAAUGCACUAUAUCCUCC